RNAcentral lists this ribosomal RNA (464 nucleotides) under Staphylococcus aureus. Its description in RNAcentral is "bacterial SSU rRNA". It matches the Rfam family "Bacterial small subunit ribosomal RNA", at positions 1 to 454 of the family's 1533-position model. Lineage: Bacteria; Bacillati; Bacillota; Bacilli; Caryophanales; Staphylococcaceae. The record is from RNAcentral.
UUUAUGGAGAGUUUGAUCCUGGCUCAGGAUGAACGCUGGCGGCGUGCCUAAUACAUGCAAGUCGAGCGAACGGACGAGAAGCUUGCUUCUCUGAUGUUAGCGGCGGACGGGUGAGUAACACGUGGAUAACCUACCUAUAAGACUGGGAUAACUUCGGGAAACCGGAGCUAAUACCGGAUAAUAUUUUGAACCGCAUGGUUCAAAAGUGAAAGACGGUCUUGCUGUCACUUAUAGAUGGAUCCGCGCUGCAUUAGCUGGUUGGUAAGGUAACGGCUUACCAAGGCAACGAUGCAUAGCCGACCUGAGAGGGUGAUCGGCCACACUGGAACUGAGACACGGUCCAGACUCCUACGGGAGGCAGCAGUAGGGAAUCUUCCGCAAUGGGCGAAAGCCUGACGGAGCAACGCCGCGUGAGUGAUGAAGGUCUUCGGAUCGUAAAACUCUGUUAUUAGGGAAGAACAUAU